GGGACCGUAGGGUAGCUUGGUCCAUCCUGCCAGGUCGGGGAUCUGGCGACCGGCGUUCAAAUCGCCGCGGUCCCA
This 75-nucleotide transfer RNA is filed under the name Methanobacteriota archaeon. Its description in RNAcentral is "Euryarchaeota archaeon tRNA-Pro". RNAcentral also lists the same sequence under 7 other names. The record is from RNAcentral. Lineage: Archaea; Methanobacteriati; Methanobacteriota.